RNAcentral lists this ribosomal RNA (59 nucleotides) under uncultured fungus. RNAcentral describes it as "partial 28S ribosomal RNA". It matches the Rfam family "Eukaryotic large subunit ribosomal RNA", at positions 1 to 56 of the family's 3401-position model. The record is from RNAcentral. Lineage: Eukaryota; Fungi.
GGUUGACCUCGGAUCAGGUAGGAAUACCCGCUGAACUUAAGCAUAUCAAUAAGCGGAGA